GGCGGUGUAGCUCAGAUGGUCAGAGCGUUCGGUUCAUACCCGAAAGGUCGGGGGUUCGACUCCCUCCGCCGCUACCU
Molecule: transfer RNA, 77 nt
Filed under: Brevibacillus agri
Lineage: Bacteria; Bacillati; Bacillota; Bacilli; Caryophanales; Paenibacillaceae
Also listed under: 2 other names
Description: tRNA-Met
Rfam family: tRNA
About the family: Transfer RNA (tRNA) molecules are approximately 80 nucleotides in length.
Source: RNAcentral